Molecule: ribosomal RNA, 253 nt
Filed under: uncultured bacterium
Lineage: Bacteria
Description: partial 16S ribosomal RNA
Rfam family: Archaeal small subunit ribosomal RNA
Source: RNAcentral
UACCAGCACCCCGAGUGGUCGGGACGUUUAUUGGGCCUAAAGCAUCCGUAGCCGGUUCUACAAGUCUUCCGUUAAAUCCAGCUGCUUAACAGAUGGGCUGCGGAAGAUACUAUGGAGCUAGGAGGCGGGAGAGGCAAGCGGUACUCGAUGGGUAGGGGUAAAAUCCGUUGAUCCAUUGAAGACCACCAGUGGCGAAGGCGGCUUGCCAGAACGCGCUCGACGGUGAGGGAUGAAAGCUGGGGGGGCAAACCGG